AAUCCUUUUUUUCAGGCCUAAUGAAAUGCUGUCUGUUAUGAAACCUCUGAUCUGUCUGGGAGCCUCCACCGGUGACUUUGGAUUAAUCUUUGCAUUAUUAUUCUGAAUUCCUGUGCACCUCUACUGGGCCAUAGAACUCUUGUGCAUAGUGGAGUAAGGGCUCCAAGAUUUGGGUAAGGAAAUGGAGCCUCACACGGGUGAGGCGGCUCCCAGGGUCACACCUGGCGGACAGCAGGUCUGAGCGCUUCUGCGCUCCGAGCCAGCACUUUCUAUGGACCCUCCCUGUUAGCCUCUCCUAUCGCUGCCUUGUCUUCUCUUCUCCUGGAGCAGGAAGUUGGAGUUCAAACCGCUUCGUGAUGUCACUGGACAGGUCCUCGGUGCGAGGCAGGGUCCAGACGGGCCCGCCCACUCCGACGGGAACGGAGGACGGGGAGACCCAGCGCGGGGCGAAGGCGGAGCCAGUACAGCCUGUCAGUCGAUCCCGUGGGCCAGCCUGUCAGCCGGUACUACCAACCCGUCAGUCAGUCAGUCAGCCAGCCUGUCAGUCAAUGUCAGUCAAUCCCAUCGCUGUCCUGUCAGCCGAUCCGGUGAGUCCAUCGGCAGGCAGUCGAGUCCACAGCGGUUUUCCCCUCAGUCCCUCAGCGGUGGUUGACUGUCUUGCUGGGCGGCAGGGGGGCCAUCCCGGUGUCCUCGUCCCCAGCGUCCCCUGUGCUGGCCCUGCGCAGGGUGAGGGCGGGUGACGGGAGGAAGCGGGCGGGCCUCUGGGAGGAGGGGCAAAUGUCGGGGAAAGGGUCUGGGGCGGAGCUCGGGUGGCAGAGCCAGGCCCGUGUUCGGGGGGCUGAGCCCGGAGGCGCCGCCCAGCCUGCCCUUGCUGUGCAGAUGGGCUUCUGACCCGCGUUGUAGGCCUAAGCUGCUCGCCUCCUUGGACGUGGGAGCCCGUCUCGGGGUGGCCCAGAGCCUGUCUUCCAGGGGCCUCACCGCGCAAGGGGGCUCCCGGCCUGCGUGGAGAGAAGACUCCUAGCUUCUGGGCUUGGCACUGCUUCUGCCGCGCAGUGUCCUUGCGGAAGCCGCUUAGCCAUCCUGGGCUCGGUGUGCCGGUGCCCCUCUACCAAGUUGAGACAACCUCCGCACCGCCAGCGACUCCCCACCUCUACUCCACACUGUGGUUGGAAAUGACACCGUGGAGGUGAAGGCCCACGUGUGAAGAGGUUACGUCGUUUUUCUGAGGUGAGGGAGGGAGCAUGGAAGAAAGAAGAGGCAGAGGUGGCUUGAACCUCUGGGUUACCGGGACGCUGGCCCGUCACCUCCACCUGGGGGCCCCAGGGUUCUGGCCUUGGCUGUGCGACUCUGGGCAAGUCCCUGCUUCUCUCUGGGCUUCUGUAACAGGAGUGUGGAUUCCAUGAUCUCCAAGGCCUGAGACUCGAGUGGAAGUAAAAUUCCUGAGGGGGGAGCUCCCUCCAAGAACACUGGAAUUCUGACCAGCCACAGUGUAGGGAUCGGGGAAAGACUUGCUAUUUCCGUGUGGUAAAGGGAAAGGUUAAAGUGCCUGGCCACGCGUCCAGACCACUGGGGGUGGGAGUAGGUACUGGGGAGGGUGGUAGCUGGGUUGCAGGAGUCAGAAGUCUUCCCUCAGCCCAAUAGGGAUAAGCUCUUGGGGCCCUGCUGGGAGGAGGUCUCUGUUGACCCUGGCAGAGGGAGGGGAGGAAAUGGACAAACCUCAGCCAUGCCCUGGGGGCAGUGGUCUUCCUUCUGCUCCAGUCUCUUCCCUUACUUCAAAGCUGGGUCCCCAGAUCGCAUCAUGCCCAGGCCUCCUCAGUGGUCCAGUGAGGUGGGAGAUGCAGUUCCUGGAAGCUGGAGGAGCCCAGACAAAGCAGGCUUCUCGUAGGGAUCUGGUGGGAUAGUUGUACUACGUGGCUUACUGGGCAUGACUGGGAGGCACCAGGAAGAGUUGGUUAUUCCUUCAGCAAGUAUACUGUGUGUGUGUGUGUGUGUUUUAAAAGAUUUUAUUUAUUUAUUCAUGAAAGAUACAGAGAGAGAAAGAGGCAGAGGCAGAGGCAGAGGGAGAAGAAGGCUCCCUGUGGGGAGCCCGAUGUGGGACUCGAUGUCAGGACCCCAGGAUCACGACCUGAGCCAAAGGCAGACACUCAACCACUCAGCCACCUGGGUGCCCCUCAGCAAGUAUAUUGGACAUCCAUCCCAUGCCAGGCUUUGUGCUAGGCAGUGCAUGGCAAGAAUGAACUGUACAGAUGUUACCCCUGUUUACGAAGUGCAGAGUAUAUAGAGGUGUUAGGAGCAAUCCAAGAAAGACAAAAAAGAGGGAAAAAAGUCAACACAUUGGCUAUAUUUAAAAUUGUGUUAUGAAGGUAGCAAAGAGGAUACUGAGGUAGAAAAUCAGUAGGGCCAUUUGGGAAGGUUCUCUGGGCAGGUGACACCUAAUGUAAGACCUGAGAGAGAAGGAGCAAGCCAUGGAGUGGAGACAGUGUUCCAGAAUGAGGGAAUACCAUUCAUUCAUUCAUUCAUUCAUUCAUGUAUGCCCAUGUUACUAUGUGCCAGGUAUUUUUCUAGAAUAGAGAAAGAGAGAUGAACAAUAGAAGUUAAAUCCUUUCUCUCAUAGAGUUUAUGUUAUAGUGGAAGGAGACAGAAAAUGAACAAUUCCAGGGAGUGAUGAAUGCUAUGAAGAAAAUGAAAACAACAUUUGAGAUAGAAAAUGACUAAGUAUGAGAGGAAUAUGAUAGAUAGGGUGGUAAGUAAGGGAAGGCCACUCAGAGAUCAAAUAGUGAGAAAGAGCCAGCCAGGCAAAGGUCUGGAGGAAGAACAUUCCAGACAGAGGGAGCAGGAAGUGGGAAUGAAUUUAGCAGGUUUGAAGCAUGGCUGAUGGGAGAGUGAUGGGCAGUGAGGUGGUGGGAGCAGGUAAUGAAGGCCAUGGCAAAGCUAGGUGAGUUUGGAUUUAUUAGAAGGUACUGGGAAGCUGGUGGAGGGAUGUGGGCAGGGGAGAGAUCUCAUAACUCUGGCUGCUCAGUGUGGGUGUGUAGUGAGAGGGUGGGAAGGUAGGAGUGGAAGCAGUUAAGACGCUACUCUAAUAGUCCAGGCAAGAUAAUGUUGGCCCGGACCAGGGUAGUAGCAGGGGAGAUGGAGGCAGGUGAACAGGUAUAAGUAUGGGCUGGAUCGAAAGGAUUUGCUAUUUGGAUGUGGGGCAGAGGUGAAGGAAAAGGAUGACUCUUUGGAUUCUAAUUCCAGCACCUGGAUGGAUGCUGAUGCCAUUGACUGAGUUGGAGUGGGUUGUAGGGAUAGGUUUUGGGGUGGAAAAAGAGAAUGCAGUUUUGGAGAACUUAACAAAGAUUUCUGUUAGGCAAGUGGAGAUGACAGGCAGGCAGCUGGUCAGACCCUGGAGCUCGGGGGAGAGGAUUGGUCUAAAAGUGGUGUUUGGCUUGGGGCACAGGACAGUGCUGGUCAGGCCAGCAGGGGCAGUGCUGUUCAAGGAAUUGGACAGCUAAGCUGUCCAGCAUUGUGGCCACGAGCCAUAUGCAGCUUUGGGCACUUGACAUAUAGCUUGCCUGAAUUGAGAUGUCCCCCAAGUGUAAAAUACAUACCAAAUUUGGAAGAUUUACUAUGGAAAAAGAAUAUAGAGUGUCUCAUUAAGAAUUUUAAAAAAUUGAUUACAUGUUGAAAUGUAUUAAAUGAAAUAUAUUAUUAAAAUUAA
RNA transcript from Canis lupus familiaris (dog), 3700 nucleotides. RefSeq lists it as uncharacterized. The transcript has 4 exons. Lineage: Eukaryota; Metazoa; Chordata; Mammalia; Carnivora; Canidae. The record is from RefSeq and is a predicted model, not a curated record.